CUACUGAAUCAUUCAACAGUCUGUCUGUUUGCUCUCUAGCCAAAGAAAAUAACCUAUAAAACAAGGACUUAGGAAUCAACUGCAAACGGGGUUUCCACCUAGUUUGUAACAUCUCCACCUGCCUUGUAUCUUCCUGCAGACACAAUGGGAAAUGGGAGCAAUUGCUGGUUAUGUGUGCGUGGCACUUCUGGGUGCUGGGCUCCACUGCUUUUGCCUUUCUUCCAGCAGUGUAACUCAAGGUGACUACAGGUCAGCUUGCAGCAGCUGCUACCAUCUUAUUGAGCUUCGCCAUCCCAUGGGAGGAGGACCAGAGCCAGAGCGUUCCCUGCGCUUGCCAGGAAAUCCACAGGUCUUUAAGUGAAGCUUGGAAGAUCUACAAUGUGAAGCUCAGAGGAUCAUCUUCAGAAUGUUAUUCCUUUACUUAUAAACCUCAAACAAUGGCAAGUGAGGCAUAUUCUUAAAACUUAUGGGAAUAUCCCCCAAAAGUGAAGUUUCUUAGUGAAUAUAUAGCUUUUCUGAUGGCAAUCUAAUCACCUGAUAAGCAAAGUGUUUUAAAUACCACAAUCUGACCAAUACGUAUUAGCUGCAUGGAUACAAUGUAUUCCUGUCUGAUAUCUAGCAUUUUUAUCUGGUAUCUAUUAUUGCACAACCUUGCAAAUCUUGCUGGUUAGGAAACUGAGACACAGGGAAGAAACAUUUGUCAAGGGAUGCAUGGAGAGUUGUUGACUGUAGGCACACACAAGGCCAACACUGCCACAUUUUCACAAGCCUUCUUUGCAAAGCUAAGCCUUGUCUGUGACCCUUUGUUCUUUAUUUCACCUGGAGUCAUACCACAAUGCCACACAGCGUAAGCAGCUUUUAAAGAGGACCAAGUAUCUGUGAGGACUCACAGCAUUGUAUCUGUUCGUGAUACUCAGAUGUGCAUCAGAACGUAGCAAACCAGGCACAACACAACUGGAAGGUUAAAGCUAAAACCACUUCAAGGUUAAGGCAACACUCAACUCUGCAAAUACGUAGCAGGCAAUUUGCAAAGAUAGCCUUGCUAAUGAGAAAUCAGUUCUUCCUGCAUUGUGUAUUUCUAUAUUGUUCUAAUAUUUCCAGAGAGCACAGCAAUGAAAAACAUGUCUCCUGACAUUCAGUAGAGCCAUGGCUUAAGGUGAUGCCAGAAAUUGGCCUGUCAUUGUUCUGAUGGAUUUCAUUACAUCCUGGUGUGACACGACACAAAGACGCAUUGCACAUCUGCCUCAAAGUCCAACAUUUUGAAGCAUUUUUUUAGCCUAAAGAAACACAUGUGCAGUUUACCCAUGUUCAGGAGCUCAGCAUAACACCAAAGAGCUGCCUCUGUUGCUUUCCAGGCACCU
This 1361-nucleotide long non-coding RNA is filed under the name Coturnix japonica (Japanese quail). RNAcentral describes it as "lncRNA (ENSCJPG00005013375.1)". The record is from RNAcentral. Lineage: Eukaryota; Metazoa; Chordata; Aves; Galliformes; Phasianidae.